This 792-nucleotide ribosomal RNA is filed under the name uncultured archaeon. RNAcentral's name for it is "bacterial SSU rRNA". It matches the Rfam family "Archaeal small subunit ribosomal RNA", at positions 1 to 801 of the family's 1478-position model. The record is from RNAcentral.
UUCCGGUUGAUCCUGCCGGACCUGACUGCUAUCGGAUUGGUACUAAGCCAUGCGAGUCAUUGUAGCAAUACAAGGCGGACGGCUCAGUAACACGUAGUCAACCUAACUCGUGGACGUGGAUAACCUCGGGAAACUGAGAAUAAACCACGAUAGAUCAUAGUGCCUGGAAUGGCUUAUGGUCCAAACAGUUUACUGCCAUGGGAUGGGACUGCGGCCUAUCAGCUUGUUGGUGAGGUAAUGGCCCACCAAGGCGAUUACAGGUACGGGCUCUGAGAGGAAAAGCCCGGAGAUGGGUACUGAGACACGGACCCAGGCCCUAUGGGGCGCAGCAGGCGAGAAACCUUAGCAAUGUGCGAAAGCACGACUGGGUCAGUCCGAGUGAUUCCUGAUAAAGGAGUCUUUUGCCUGUCCUAAAAGCACAGGUGAAUAAGGGGUGGGCAAGUCUGGUGUCAGCCGCCGCGGUAAUACCAGCACCUCGAGUGGUCAGAACGUUUAUUGGGCCUAAAGCAUCCGUAGCCGGCUCUGCAAGUCUUCGGUUAAAUCCACCUGCUCAACAGAUGGGCCGCUGGAGAUACUACAGAGCUAGGGAGUGGGAGAGGCAGACGGUAUUCAGUGGGUAGGGGUAAAAUCCUCUGAUCCAUUGAGGACCACCAGUGGCGAAGGCGGUCUGCCAGAACACGUUCGACGGUGAGGGAUGAAAGCUGGNGGAGCAAACCGGAUUAGAUACCCGGGUAGUCCCCAGCUGUAACGAUGCAAACUCGGUGAUGCAUUGGCUUAUGGCCAAUGCAGUGC